Molecule: ribosomal RNA, 253 nt
Filed under: uncultured bacterium
Lineage: Bacteria
Description: partial 16S ribosomal RNA
Rfam family: Bacterial small subunit ribosomal RNA
Source: RNAcentral
UACGGAGGAUCCAAGCGUUAUCCGGAUUUAUUGGGUUUAAAGGGUGCGUAGGCGGCUUAUUAAGUCAGGGGUGAAAGACGGUGGCUCAACCAUCGCAGUGCCUUUGAUACUGAUGAGCUUGAAUACACUUGAGGUAGGCGGAAUGUGACAAGUAGCGGUGAAAUGCAUAGAUAUGUCACAGAACACCAAUUGCGAAGGCAGCUUACUAAGGUGUUAUUGACGCUGAGGCGCGAAAGCAAGGGGAUCAAACAGG